GACGAACGCUGGCGGCGUGCUUAACACAUGCAAGUCGAACGGAAAGGCCCUGCUUUUGUGGGGUGCUCGAGUGGCGAACGGGUGAGUAACACGUGAGUAACCUGCCCUUGACUUUGGGAUAACUUCAGGAAACUGGGGCUAAUACCGGAUAGGAGCUCCUGCUGCAUGGUGGGGGUUGGAAAGUUUCGGCGGUUGGGGAUGGACUCGCGGCUUAUCAGCUUGUUGGUGGGGUAGUGGCUUACCAAGGCUUUGACGGGUAGCCGGCCUGAGGGGGUGACCGGCCCCCUUGGGACUGAGGUACGGCCCCGACUCCUACGGGAGGCAGCAGUGGGGAAUAUUGCACAAUGGGCGGAAGCCUGAUGCAGCAACGCCGCGUGCGGGAUGACGGCCUUCGGGUUGUAAACCGCUUUCGCCUGUGACGAAGCGUGAGUGACGGUAAUGGGUAAAGAAGCACCGGCUAACUACGUG
Molecule: ribosomal RNA, 468 nt
Filed under: uncultured bacterium
Lineage: Bacteria
Description: partial 16S ribosomal RNA
Rfam family: Bacterial small subunit ribosomal RNA
Source: RNAcentral